RNAcentral lists this long non-coding RNA (888 nucleotides) under Coturnix japonica (Japanese quail). RNAcentral describes it as "lncRNA (ENSCJPG00005013408.1)". The record is from RNAcentral. Lineage: Eukaryota; Metazoa; Chordata; Aves; Galliformes; Phasianidae.
GUGUUUGAAACCACUGAGUCAAAAUGAAUCAUGAGUGCUACAGCAUUUAAUGUUUUGAGGAAGAGAUUGGCAGAAGGCAGCUUCCAGAGAAUAUCACAGCCUUUUCUCUUUGGAUGAGAAGUAAGGAAAGCAGCAGAAGGAAUGACAGAGCUCAGCUUUGAAGAUACAGAGGCCAAGUAUUUCUCUCAAAGGUUAAGUGUAGUUUCUUAUGAGAUUUGGCACAAAAGAGGAGGAAGAACAGAGGAAGAGCAAGAGGAACCAGAUUUCUACCCUAAACAACUACAUGUUCUCAGAAAAUGUCUCUGUUUCAACCAUGGCUUUUCAGAUGGUUUCCUUAAGCCCUGAUUUAUUACUCCAAGUUCAAAAACCGUGCCUAGCCUGAAGAUGCUUGAGAAAUGCACUCCCUCUCUCCAUCGAUCCAAGCAGUUGGUGUCUGAUGCAAACUGCUCUGGGUAAAUGCGAACCAGAUGUUCCCUGAUUCUGACAUGUGACCCAUCCCUCACACCCUCCGCCAGCGCAUGUUGGUCAGAGAGCUGCAGAGCAGCACAGGGCAGCCUCAUUUAGCAUGCUGCUCCGGAUCCUGCUCAUCCCACACUGGAAAGAGUGCCCUGACUCCAGAAAGCAUUGUCAAUAAGCAGUGCUGAGCACAGUCAAAUGGAUGUGUGGUGAACAAACACGCCAAUCAUCUGUGGGAUCUAACAGAGGUACCAAGCUGGCAUCUGCUAAUGCCUGCAAUCCCUCUGCGCCAGCUCUGCCCGCAAGCACCCUGCAGGGAGUCCGUGCUGCUGCACAAGGCAGGUCAGCCCAGCCAAGAGGUCUGAGAUAGGGAAAUCUGGAGUCAGAUCGUGUUUCUCAGCUGUUAAUAAAAUUUCCCCUGGAAUAAAAGCA